CAGGGAUUGCCUCAGUAACGGCGAGUGAAGCGGCACCAGCUCAGAUUUGAAAUCUGGUCCCACCUGUGGGGCCCGAGUUGUAGUCUGGAGAGGAUGCUUUGGGGGACAGCUGGGUCCAAGUUCCUUGGAAUAGGGCGUCAGAGAGGGUGAGAGUCCCGUCUGUGGCCUGGGCCUGUCCUUUGUGUGAAGCUCCCUCGACGAGUCGAGUUGUUUGGGAAUGCAGCUCAAACCGGGUGGUAAAUCUCAUCUAAAGCUAAAUACUCGCCAGAGACCGAUAGCGCACAAGUAGAGUGAUCGAAAGAUGAAAAGCACUUUGAAAAGAGAGUUCAACAGCACGUGAAAUUGUUGAAAGGGAAGCGCUCGCAAUCAGACUUGCCCGCGGUCCUUCAGUCGAUGGGUGACCACCGACGCAAUGGACCUCGGGCAGGCCAGCAUCGGCCCAGGUGGCGGGAGAAGAACCCUGGGAAUGUGGCUCCCUACUGGGUGCGUUAUAGCCUGGGGUGCGAUGCCGCCGCCUGAGCCGAGGCCCGCGCUACGGCAAGGAUGCUGGCGUAAUGGUUGCCAGCGACCCGUCUUGAAACACGGACCAAGGAGUCUAACAUCCACGCGAGUGUUUGGGUGUCAAACCCCCGGCGCGCAAUGAAAGUGAAUGGAGGUGGAAAUCCGUAGGGAUGCACCAUCGACCGAUCCUGAAGUCUACGGAUGGAUUUGAGUACGAGCGUGGCUGUUGGGACCCGAAAGAUGGUGAACUAUGCCUGAAUAGGGUGAAGCCAGAGGAAACUCUGGUGGAGGCUCGCAGCGGUUCUGACGUGCAAAUCGAUCGUCAAAUUUGGGUAUAGGGGCGAAAGACUAAUCGAACCAUCUAGUAGCUGGGUUCCUGCCGAAGUUUCCCUCAGGAUAGCAGUAACGCGUGGCAGUUUUAUGAGGUAAAGCGAAUGAUUAGAGGCCUUGGGGUUGAAACAACCUUAACCUAUUCUCAAACUUUGAAUAUGUAAGAAGUCCUUGUUGCUUGGUUGAACGUGGACAUUCGAAUGUACCGUUACUAGUGGGCCAUUUUUGGUAAGCAGAACUGGCGAUGCGGGAUGAACCGAACGCGGGGUUAAGGUGCCGGAAUGCACGCUCAUCAGACACCACAAAAGGUGUUGGUUCAUCUAGACAGCAGGACGGUGGCCAUGGAAGUCGGAACCCGCUAAGGAGUGUGUAACAACUCACCUGCCGAAUGAACUAGCCCUGAAAAUGGAUGGCGCUCAAGCGUGCUACCCAUACCCCGCCGCCAGGGUAGGAACGAUGCCCUGGCGAGUAGGCAGGCGUGGGGGUCCGUGACGAAGCCUCGGAGCGAUC
This 1341-nucleotide ribosomal RNA is filed under the name Peltula confusa. Its description in RNAcentral is "Peltula sp. QY-2022b partial large subunit ribosomal RNA". It matches the Rfam family "Eukaryotic large subunit ribosomal RNA", at positions 69 to 1422 of the family's 3401-position model. The record is from RNAcentral. Lineage: Eukaryota; Fungi; Ascomycota; Lichinomycetes; Lichinales; Phylliscaceae.